Molecule: long non-coding RNA, 8008 nt
Organism: Neofelis nebulosa (Clouded leopard)
Lineage: Eukaryota; Metazoa; Chordata; Mammalia; Carnivora; Felidae
Exons: 9
Source: RefSeq, a predicted model, not a curated record
AGAUUUUCAGAAACAUAAUGUGUCUGUACUAAUACACUGAGAUUAUUCGAUGUUACUGGGUUUGCUAAUAAUCUUAGAAAUUGUUUUCUCUCCUUGUAGUUAGUUUAUAGCUAAUAACUGAGAAGAUCAAUACAUUUAAAAAGAAAACAGAACUUGCUGAUGAAGUAUCCAUUUGGGAGCAGAAGGGAUCAUUACCCUUUCAAAGAUUUUUUCUGAUUUCAUUUUGGUUAUUUGUACCUCUGGUAGUGUAUCCUACUGACCUAUUUCAUGUGUUCUAUAAACAGUUCUAGUUCAAGACAAGCUUCACAAAUGUCAAGCACUGUCUGUUUAUUUGUGGAAGGAAUCACACAUUAAAAGAUAGUUUUGUCUAUCACUAUGCUAUUUGUGAAUUCUAAUCCUUUAUCACAUGUUAUAUAGAUCAAUGAAUCAAAGAAAUGUCUUUAAGAAACUAAGAGAAAUUAAGUUUCUUUCUGAUGAAGCUCUUAAAUUAAAGGAGGACAUCAAAACAGUUGAAUAUUUUAAUGAAAUUUUAAGUGACAGUCUUCAAAGUGCACAUGCUACCUUGCGAUCUGAGAGAGAGAAGAAUGUCAAGAAUAAGGACUUGUCACAAGAUGGAAAUGGUGAAUUCGAGGAUUGAGAGCUGAGAACCUUGAGGUCCAAUAACUGUGAACUGGAAGAAAAUAAAAAGGCCUUAGAAGACAAGUGUAAUGCAUUGAGGUCUGUGAAAGCAAUCAAGGAAGCAAAAGUCAAACAGCUGAAGGAGAAAGCACAUAUCCUUGAAGAAUUCUAUAAACAAAGAAAAGUGGCUGCAGAAGAGAAACUGAAAAUGGCACAAUGUGAACUGGGGGCAAUUGAGAAUCAACUGGAAGCUACAGAGGAAAAUUUGAAAAUAGCUAACGAGGAAAUAUACAACUACAAGUGAGUUCAGAUACUAAUUAGCAGUGGCUCAUGAAACCCCUGUCCAUUUCUUGUUUUUCACAUUUGUACAAAUUUAGACUCAAUUAACAAGUAAUAUAAAUACAUAUUCAGAGGACAUAUCCAUAGAGAAUGAACAGAUAGAAAAAGAUAAGAUUUAGAAAGAACAAAAAACAGUCAAGUUACUAAACAUUUCCAGAACUCCAGUAUUGGCCUGACCAUGUGGAAACUUCAUCCAUGCCAACAUUCCUCAGGGGUGGUGUCAACUCUCAUAAUCUAUAGGAAAGCAGUGUGUGGUAGGAUGAAUUAUACCCAUCAACAUGGUAGUGCCAUUUGAUGGCCCUGGUUUCUGGGAAAUAUGGUGAAAAUAUAUGUUAAGGGACAAAGAGCUUUAUGAUGAAAGACACUUGUCACAUGAUGAAUUAGGGAAAGAUUAAAAAUGGGAAGGAAUUCUAUGAACUCUGAACCCUACAGGCAGGGAAUAAUGAGUAAGGAAAGGAUGUAACAAUAGCUUUGAUCCUACUGUACAUUUAUAAUCAUGUAAGAAUAAAUUGUAUCAGGGGACAGAUACGAGGUUGAUGGCAACGUGGGCAGAUUAUUUAAAAUCAUACCCAAUAUUGGGCCUUAUCUGACAAAAGCAAUUGUGACUCACAGGCAACAAACUGAACAAACACGAGAACAGCUACAGCAGGCAGAGCUCACCUUCAGACACCAGAUUGCAGUUCAUGAGAAGAAUGCUCAGCACAACUGGAUCAAGACUCAGAUCUGGGACAGGGAGAUGGCAGAGCAGAGCAGGGAGGGCGCCCACUUGAAACAGACUGGAUGUUAUGGAAGGAAAGAGGCUGCCUGAGGGACACAUGAGGCAGAAACCAAUGCCUGGAAGACCAGAGACGCAGAACCGUCCAGGGAGAGGUAAGGAGCACAUUGUGAUAUGCACUGGCCUAAUUUCUGCUGCAAAGCCUGUUCCUGUCGGUGAUCAUUGUGUGGCCUGGACAGAACCACAAGCACUACCUAAGGAUAGCAGGUGGCCUGAAGGGGUGACAGGAGGGUGUUCUCCUCUGGUGCCCUAGCAGCACUGCUAAAUUUCUGUAGUUUUCCUUUUCUCAUUAGUAUAAGAUUAGUCUAAGUACAUUUCUAGUCAGACAUAGUUAUAUAAUAACUGCUCACAUGUGGAAGGCAGCUUACAUAUAAGCUGAAGGAUUGAACAAUCCACCUAGAGCCAGAAGAAACACACACAUUCUCUUCCGUUGAGGGUUCUUUGAUGUUAUCCGCCAAUCGAUACUCUCGUUUGUAUUCUUUUUUUUAGUUAAAUUUUUAAUGUUUAUUUACUUUGGAGACAGAGAGUGUGAGUGGGGGAGGGGCAGAGAGAGAAGGAGACACAGAAUCUGAAGCAAGCUCCAGGCUCUGAGCUGUCAGCACAGAGCCCGACGCGGGGUUCGAACCCAUGGACUGUGAGAUCAUGACCUGAGCCAAAAUCAGAUGCCUAACUGACUGAGCCACCCAGGCAUCCUCAUUUUUGUUCUUAAUCGGUAAUGAAAUGGUGAUUUCCCAUGAUGUACACUGAGAAACCUCUGUCUUAGUGAUGACUUCUAGAUUGCUAAUUGAGCCUGUCAUCACUGACCUGUCCACAGUUAUUUGAUUAAUUACAAAACAACAUGAACUAAGGCAACAUGAGGUCUUUAUCAAGGUGAGGGGAGGUUCUCCCCCUUAUCCUUGGGGGUCACCUGAGGCAUGUGGGAUACCCUCUGCCUCUGGUCAGGGACCUGACUGAAGGGAAAAAUUUAAGAUAUUUGAGGAAUGAGAGGAGAGAUUGUUUUCAUUCCGCACAGUCCUCUAAAAGCAGAAUAAACCUCUGUCCCUUCUAGGGUCUUUAGUAGAUCCACAAACUCUGAAACCUCUGAGUUACAGCAGCUCUGACUGUACCAAGAAUGCAGACAAGGACAAGAGAUUAAGAUCACCUCUGGCUGUCAAAGACCCUAAGACUUCUGAACUCGAGUCCCUCAGCCAGGCUGCUGAGAGACAACACGUAGGCAUGUAAGUACCCUCUCCACAUUACCUCUUCCUAAGAUGCUACCUUGCCCUCUUCUACUUCAGGGUGGUAGCCACCGGAAGGUCAGAUGCUGUGAAGUCCCUCCCCUCAUGCAGACCUGUCAGAGUGGCCCAAAUAAUGCUACCUGCAUGCUGCUGCCACCUCAUGGUCACAUCUUUCUCCUUCAGCCUGAAAAUUCUUGAACUCAACUGUACAUUCUUCCCAACAUUGAAUGUUUUUCUGAAUUGGAAUUAUUUGAUUCUGUUGUAUUGCCGCUAAGAAGAAUGCAUGGAAACAAAUUAAAAACAAGGAUUCUUUAGAAUAAGUGAGCUAGUCACAAUGAAACACCUGGCCGUUUGUACAUUUUUGGAAAAUGUUAAGCCAUGAUGUGAAAAACAUUGUCCAGAAUCUAAAUAGGUCCAUGCUGUAGGAUCACCAACUUUAUAGUGAGCCCAUCAGUAACACACUCUUUGAAAAUCAGAAAAGCACAUAAUUCCAUACUAUAGAAUACAAUGUGGCAUAUAUGUUAUCAUCUUAGUGUAAAAUAUGUAAAAUGGCUACUUUUGUCAAUUAUAUUUAUUGUGUAUUCAAUUUUUUAUAACAUACAUGCUAUUAUUUAAAUAAAACAGCAGUAAGAACAUGAAAAUGAGUGUCAACUGUUAGUAAAUAACAGAACUCAUUAUGCAGUUACAUGUGUUAAAACAAUGAUUAUUCAUAUACUUUUAAUAUUAUUACAGUUUUAGAUUUAUUUUAAAAAGAGUCCAUAUGGUACCAAAUAAAUGAGUAUUUUCAAAGCUGAAAGCAUUUGCAUUAUGUAGAUACCCAGUCCUCCAAGAGGUGACAUGUAACUUCCCACUUCUUGAGAUGUGCACUUAUUUCUCUAGAGAGAACAUACAUCAUGGACAGGGGAGAAACCUGAAAAGCACUACCUCAGCCGUAUGAUGAAACAUAAAAUUAACAGUGGCAAUUCAUCUUGAGAGUAAACAUUCUUGAUAUGAAUCGAUAAGGAUGGCAUUUUGCCUCUGUGAUCUUGUGCCACCAAGCACGUAACUCCAGUCUAGUCAUUUGAAAAAACAUUAGAGGGGCGCCUGGUUGGCUCAGUCGGUUAAGCAUCGGACUUUGGCUCAGGUCAUGGUCUCACAGUUCAUGGGUCUGAGCCCCACAUCGGGCUCUGUGCUGACAGCUUGGAGCCUGAAGCCUGCUUUGGAUUCCGUGUCUCUCUCUCUCUGCCCCUUCCUCACUCACACUCUGUCUCUCUCUGUGUCUCAAAAAUGAAUAAACGUUAAAAAAAAAAUUAGAUGUAUACCAACUGAGGAUCAUCCCACAAAAUACAUUCUACAAAAGUACCCCUCAAAACUUUGCAGAUCAUGAAAAAUAUGGAAAGUCUGAGAAUUGUUAUAGGCAGGUAGAGCCUAAGGAGACAGGAUGACUGGAUGUAAUGUGCCAGCUGGGAUGAGUCUGGAACAAGAAAAGUUAAAACCUCAGCAAAUCUGAGUAAAAUAGACAUUGGUCAAUUAUAUCAAUUUUUGAUUACUAUACCAACUCAUGUGACAUUAAUAAUCAACAAACUGAGUCUUAGGUAUGUGAAAACUCUCAGUACUAUCCCCACAAUUUUUAUUCAGUAAAUCAAACCUAUUGUAAAAUUAAAAAGUUUAUUAGUAGUCUUGGUUUAUGUUUUUAACACAUAAUAUGGCAUAAUUAGUCCUGCCCUGAGUGACUAGUAUCUACUCUUAUAGUUAUUACUAUUGUUUUAUUUAAAUGAUAACAUUUAUGUUAUAGAAAACUGAAUGAUACACAGUAUUAUGUAAUUCACAGAAACAGAAACAUCUAGUUUCUAUAGUUUAUGUUAAGAUAAUAAAACAUAUACAACAUAUGAUAUAUAAUGAUUUCUGAUCUAGAAUGGGUGUGUCACUGAUGCACUUUCUAUAAAGUUUGUGCCUACCGUGACAUUGGCUAAUUAGUAUUCAUAAAGAGAAAAAUGACAAUAAAAGAAUAGUACCAACAUGGGCGAUAUAGAUUACUGUGGGGGAUAAUAUGAAGUUGAUGUUAAGACACUGUAUUCCUAGGGUGUUGGCUGUUAUUUCACCUCUUUCUUUUCUAAUUUUAUUUAUUUUUGUCCUCUCUUCUUUUGUUAAUGAGUCUGGAUAACAGUUUAUCAAUUUGGUUUAUCUUUUCAAACAACCAGCUCUGGUUUUCAUGAUGUGUUCUAUUUCUUGUGUGUGUGUUUUAUUUCCUUUAUUUCUGCUUUAGUUUUUAUUAUUUCCUCCCUUCCGUAUUUGGGCUUUGUUCUUCUAGGCUUGACGUUAGUUGUUUUUUUGUUGUUGUUGUUUGUUUGUUUUUGUUUUUGUUUUUUUGAGAUUUUUUCUUACUUCUUCAGGUAGGCCUGAUUGCUAUAACCUACCCUCUUAUAUCAGCUUUUGCUACAUCCAACACUUAAAGUUUUCAUUCAAAUUCCAGUUAGUUAACAUCCAGUGUAAUAUUAGCCCCAGGUAUACAAUAUAGUGAUUCAACACUUGCAUAUGACACCUGGUGGUGCUCAUCACCAGAAAUGCAAUCCUUAAUCCCCAUCACUUAUUUUACCCAUCUCCCACCCACCUCCCUUCUGGUAACCAUUUGUUUCUCUAUAGUUUCUAGUCUGUUUCUUGGUUUCUCUCUCUUUCCUCCCCACCCCAUCUCCUCCCUGUGUUCAUUUGUUUUGUUUCUUAAAUUCCACAUGUGAGUGAAAUCAUAUGGUAUUUGUCAUUCUCUAACUUAUUUCACUUAGUAUAAUAAAUACUCUGUAGGUCUAUCCGUGUUGGUGCAAAUGGCAAGAUUUCAUUCUUUUUAUGGCUGAUACUAUUCCAUGCAUAUAUCUAUAUAUACCACACCUUCUUUAUCCAUUCAGCAAUAAUGAACACUUGAGCUGCUUCCAUAAUAUGACUGUUGUAAAUAAUGUUGCUAAAAACAUAAGGGUAUGUGUAUCCCUUUGAGUUAGUGUUCUUGUAUUAUUUGGGCAAAUACCCAGUAAUGUGAUUGCUGGAUCAUAAGGUAGUUCUAUUUUUAACCUUUUGAGGAACUUCCAUACUCUUUUCCACAGUGGUUGCACCACGUUUGCAUUCCCACCAAUCAGUGCACAGGGGUUCCCCUUUCCUCAUAUCCUUGCCAACACCUGUUGUUUCUGUGUUGUUGAUUUUACCCAUUCUGACAGGUGGGAGAUGAUAUCUCAUUGUAGCUUUGAUUUGUAUUUCCCUGAUGAUAAGUGAAGAUGAGCAUCUUUUUACGUAUCUGUUGGCCAUCUGGAUGCCUUCUUUGGAGAAGAUGUUGCCCAAUGUCUGUUGCCCUUUAGUUUUAUUGAUUGUUUUCUUCGCUGUGCAGAAGGUUUUUAUUUUGGUGUAGUCUCAGUAAUUUAUUUUUCCUUUAAUUUCCUUUGCCUAAGGAGGCGUAUCUAGAAAGAAGUUGGUACGUCCAAUGUCAAAGAAGUUACUACCUAUAUUCUUUGCUAGGAUUUUUAUGGUUUCAGGUCUCACAUUUAGGGUUUUAAUUCAUUUUGAAUUUAUUUAUGUGUAUGAUGUAAGAAAGUGUCCAGUUUCAUUCUUUCGCAUGUUGUUGUUCAGUUUUCCCAACACCAUUUGUUGAAGAGACUUUCUCCCAUUGGAUCAUCUUUCCUGCUUUGUUGAAGAUUAACUGAUCCUAUAAUUGUGGGAUUAUUCCUGUGUUUUCUAUUCUGUUCCAUUGAUGUCUGUGUCUGUUUUUGCUUCAGUAUCAUACUGUUUUGGAGCCACAGGAAGGAUCCAUUUCUGAUUGAUAUAACAAUCUCCUGGUCAGUUAGAGGUACUUGACUGAGAAAUCAUUGUAUCAUUCAGAUAUGGAUGGAUCCUUCCUCUGUCUCUGUGUUUCCAUGCCUGAACUUCUGGCUGUGCCCAAGAAUAAGGUAAUCUUCAACAGUAGAUGGGACAUAUGAAAAAGACACAGGAACCAUCUGAAAGGAUUGCCACUGAUCAGAUCAAGACAACCUGAACAUUAAAAUGAAUCAUGGCAGGAAUGGUUUCCCAAUACUGAAUGAUAAACAAUCCAUGAGUCUACAGUGAUACCUAAAAAACAUUUUUAAAAUGGGGAUUGGAGAAAAGAGAAAUACCUUUACAAAAGAUUACACACAAAUAAAGGUAGAAAUAGAAAAUGGAGAUAAGAAAUCACCUUUUAAAAACCAUCAUUCUAACAGUUUGGCCACCAAUUAUCAGUAGAUGCUAAAGUUGUUGGGUGAAAUAAUGUUGGGGCAUAGGAAAUGGACUGUGGGAACCACAGUGAACUUAAUAACUAACAUACAAAGAAACCAGGCUGUGUCAUGUGGCUCAUGAUGCAGGGUCAGUGUGAAGGGCACAAUAUCAGACAGUAAAAGAUUUUGAAAAGAGAAGAAAAAACAGAAAAGUAUAGACAAAUAGAAUGCACAUAUUGGUGGUGAAUGUAAAGUCCAAGAGAAGAAGGUCACAUUGAAUUCACUGGAUAAAAAGAUCCUGUUAAAAAUCAACAACUAGCUAAACCAACCAACCAACCAACAACCAUAAGCUGGUGACAUGAUACUCAUCUAAAAUGCAAGGUCAUAGACAUUUUGAAAAUAAGACACUGGAAAAAACUAAAGUAUGUAAACAGCAAUCAAAGAAAAGCUGCUCUGGGUAUAGUAAUAUCAGAUAAAAUAUACAGAAGGCAAAAAGCAUUGCUAGAUAUAAAGAAAGUUGGUACAAAGUAAUAAAAGGUAUAGUUCACCAAGAAAGGAAAAGUUGUGCAUCCCCAAUUACAUGGCUGCCAACCAUAUAAAGGGAAGUAUGCCAAAAACUGCAAGAAGAAUCAAAUCCUCAAGUAGAGUGGGAAAUUUUUUCACAGCCCUCUCUCAGCAACUGAUAAUGGGCAGACCCCAAAUCAGUAAGGAUGCAGAAGAUUUGAACAGGAAGCCAUCUUAAUAUAGAUUAUAUACAUAGACAUAUAUAGAAAUAUAUGUAGAUAGUAUAUAUAAACAUAUGUUAAAUAAAUAGUUAAAAUAGAUACAAUAAAAUAUGCUUUAAUAUAUUUUCCUAGUAGGUAUUAGGGAAU